ACGGCCAUACCAUACAGAAUAUACCGUUCUCGUUCGAUCACCGAAGUCAAGCAUCAUUGGGCGCGGUCAGUACUUCGAUUGACACCUGGGAACACCGCGUGCC
Molecule: non-coding RNA, 103 nt
Organism: Caerostris extrusa
Lineage: Eukaryota; Metazoa; Arthropoda; Arachnida; Araneae; Araneidae
Source: the annotation of a GenBank genome assembly